GGAGAAGCAGCGAUUGGUGCUGGGGCGGGCGGUGUUUUGAGUGCGCGCGCGCGCAGGCGGGAGCGCGUACGUCGGCAGCGCGGAAGUUAGGGUCUCGAGGAGGCUGCCACCGGCUGAUCCUUCCUCCGGCGGCCGCCCUCCGUGGCCAGUUGUCGGACUCCGGGAAGUAGGCGCUGAGGGCUCGCCCCCUGCGUAUGUGAGCGCUUCUGUCUCUCUGGCGGCUACGCACGGCUGUCGCUCUGGAGAGACUGAGGAGGAAACGGGGGUGGGAGGGGAUUGCGACUGCAGUGGGACGCGGGAGCGGCGGAAGCACCGCGCUGGAGCGGUCCGGUGGCGUCGCCGGGCUUCCUUGCCCUCCCUCCGCCCGGCCGGGCUGGCUCGGAUCCCCGGGUCGAGCGCGCUGCUGCGUCACACCAGGCAGCCAGGCCGCCACUGUUGAGCAUCUCCGGCCGCCUCCCACGCCCGGGCGAGUGCACGGCCCGAGCUCCCGAGCCGAAGCGAAAGAAUGCGAGCUCAGGUCCCUCCCUGGAGGGCGGAUUAAAGGAUGCCGCGACGAAUCGCAAAAGAACAAAAGCUCUCCAGGGACGCUGCUGACCUCAUCACUGCCUCCCAUCUUUCCUAGUAGACGCUCAACAUCCUAGACACACAUCUCUUCAGGUGUAGGGGACUAUAAGAAGCAUGGUACUGCUGUAGCAAGCAACAGGUGAGUAAGGUAGAGGAAGAUGAGCUGGAGAAGUUGCACUUGCCGGAGUGUUGUGCUAUUUGUUGAAGAGAACCCACAGUGCUGGAGAGUGAAUGUAGGACCAUUGCACUACCUCCCAGCCCUUUGUUUUUCUGUUUCAAGACAGGAUUUCACUAAGUCUCCCUGAGUUGCCAAGUCUGGGCUCAAACUUUCAGUCCUCCUGCUUCAAUCUCCCAGAGUCCUGGGAUUAAUUACAGGACACACCAGCUGCUGUCACUGAUGUGCUGAAACUGUCAACUCCAAGAGAAGGAGCAAAAGAAUGAUAAACAGUACAGUGUAUCUGGGCAUGAUGGCACAAGCCUGUAAUCCCAGCACUCUGGGAGGCUGAGGCAAGAGGAUCUAAGUUCAAGACCAGCCUCAGUGAGACCCUCUCUCAAAAUAAAAAAUACAAGAAAGGGCUGUGCAUGUAGCUCUACAGUAGUACAGAAAAUAAAUAAAUAUAAAUGUAUAAGUAUACAACAGCAGAUACAUAAACCAGUGACAUGGUCACUUGUUAUCACCAUCAAGCAUUAUGUACUGUAUCAUUGUAUGUGCUAGGCUUUCACAGGACAGGCAGCACUGUGAUUUUGUUUACGACAGCGUCAUUGUGCUACUGCUUUAUGGGGCCUCCCAUCUCACUGGGUGAUAGGGAGUUUUUGGCUCCAUUAAGAUCUGUGGGACCACUGCUGUAUUUGUAAUUCAUCAUUGCCCAAACUAUCACUGCGUGGGGCAUCACUGUAUAGAAGGCACACACAUGCACACACUCUCUUUGAACUGCCUGCAUUUUUCCUCUAAGCAGGACAUCUGUGUCAGAAUAUUCUCCCAAGUCACUACUGUGACAUUUUUAGUCAUUGUGUGGCCACAUUCUGCCAGGGAUUCAAAUACCAGGUCCUCAUUGACAAUGAGAUAGCUCUGAUCUAAUCCUCAAACUUUUAUCUAUCAUGGUUCAUAUGAGUUUGCACUAAACUAUGAAAUAAAUUUGUCCCAGCCUGGGCAAUUUAUGACUUAAUAAGACUUUGUCUCAAAAGAAAAAAAAUUUUUUAAACGGGCUGGGUAUGUAGCUCAGUGCCAAGGUUCUGGGUUCAAUCUCCAAUUUAAAAAAUAGUGUUUUAUUGUGUUAUUUUUUGGUCUUUGUGCCUCUGACUUCUUUCACAGAAUUAAAACCUUUAGAAUUUUAUCAGUGUUAGGACUGUCCUAGUAUUCUGUGUUAAUCUGUUUUUCAUUAGUAUAAUGAAGUAUCUGAGGCGAGCUAAUUUAUGAAGAAAAGUGUGUAAUUUAACUCAUAGUUCUGGAGGCUCCAGGGCCCACAUCAGGUUAUGGCCUUUUUGUUGGGAGAGGCCUGAGACAGCACAGAGCAUCCUAUAAUGAGAGACAAGAGCUUGCCCUUUGGCUUCUUUCUGCUUGUACAGCUGUGACUAUUGAAUCCUAGAGGUUCCACUGCAUAACUUUCUCUAAACUAAUUACCCCCUAAAGGCCUUACCUAUAGGCAUCAUAGUUGAAUUAAGUUUCCACCCUUUUAAUACCCCUCAAUGAGGAUGAAAUUUCAACACGCCAUCCCUGCCAUCCCCGUGGGUACUAAAACUACAUCUGAACCACAACACCCCCUUCUGAUAAUACCUGAAUUCAUGCUGAUGACCUAGGGUGGAGACCCAAGACAACCUUGGACCAGUUACCAGAAAGACUAAGUGAUUACAGAAGAAGAGUAUUGGAAAGACCAGCCCUACCCCAAACCUCCAGGAAGGGGGAGGGCUGGAUAUCAAGCUCUAUAAAAACUCUUAGACAACAAGAUUUCAAGAGCGCCUGGGUUGCUGAACACAGAACUGCUUCGAGGGUGGUGAACCUAGUGCGAAGUCCCAUACUCUCUCCACCAUCCCUCACCUUAUCCACUUCUUCAUCUGGUUGUUCAUCUGUGUGCUUCAAAGUACACUUUACAAUAAACCAUAAAUUAAAGUGUCUCUCAGAGUUCUGUGAGAUAGCCUAGCAAAUGGUUCAGAGUUCUCCAAGGGACAGAAUCAACAGGAUAGCUAUGUGGGAGAGAAUUUAUCAGGGGAUCAGGCUCAUUCCCUUUUGGAAGCUAAGAAAUGCCACCACAGGUUGGCAGCAGGCUGAAGAACUUGGGAUGUUGAUGGUGUGGCUCAAUCUAAAUUCAAAUGCCUUAGAACUAGUAAAGCUGGUAGUGUAGAGCUCGAGGACCCUGGGAGUUACUGGUGGAAAUUCUGAGAGUCCAAAGUCCAAGGCAGAAAUGAAUGUAUCAGAGCUCUCUGGGGGGAAACCAACUUACCUUCUGUAUUUGUUCUAUCCAAGGGCUGGGGAUGUAGCUCAAUGGCCCCACACCUGCCUGGCAAGCAAAGUCCUGAGUUCAAUAUCAAGUACAGGGAGUGGGGUGGGGUGGGGGGUAUUUGGCAGAGCUGGAUGUAUUCAUACCUAUAAUCUCAGCUACUUGAGAGGCUGAGCCAGGUGGACUGCAAGUUGGAGGGCAGCCUGGGCAAUUUGUUUAAAAAGGCUGGGGGAGUAGCUUAGUAGCUGUGUGCUUGCUAGUUUAGCAUAUCGGAGGCCUGGGGUGGGGGUGGAGGGCUAGGGGAUGAGAGAGAGAUUUGGUGUAUGUUUUUUAAACUUUAGGGAAAUAUUUUAUAUGAUAGGUUUUUCCUUGCUGCUUUUCAGAGGCAGUAUUGGUUAGAUCAACUGUUACUAAAUCUUUAUCUCUAUCUGUGAAUAUGACUUUAUGUUACUGGGAACUGAACCCAGAGCUUUGUGCAUGCUAGGAAGCAAUCUACCAGUUAACUACAUCACUGGCCUUUUUUAUUUCAUUUUUUGAGACAAGAUCUUCCUAAAUUGCCCUGGGACUUGUGAUGCUCUUGCCUCAGCCUCCAGAGUGGUAGGGGUUACAGGCUUGCACCACUGCACACCACUGAUCUUUAUGGCAUUUUAAGUACAUUAAUGUUUUGUGAGUACUACACUUACAUUUAAUGAGAUGAAUUCAUGUUGCCUAAUACGUUGCAUAUUAUUUCUUUGAAUCAUUUUCUUAAUCCAGUGACAGCCUUGAGCUUCUUCAUUAGCUGAAAAUUUUGCAAUGUUUCAUCAAACACACAUAAAUAUCGUGUUUUAAUAUACUUUCUCUUUUCUGAACAAAUAGGUAUUUGUUGGAGGCAAUCUUAUAAAUUAAUUUAAAAUAAACCCAUUGGUUUUUGGUUUAUUUCUUAUUUUUAUCAUAUAAUUAACAGGAGAGGGCAGUCAGAGACUACUGUUAAGAAUUCAAUGGCCUGCAUAUAUUUCAGAGGCCAAAAAGAAAUCCUAUAAUUCUGCUUUAAAAACACUUGCAUCAGUAACACAUGCUAUAUGUUAUUUAAACUCGUUUAUGGUGAAUCAUUUAUAUCUCUGAUGGAUCCCUUAUAACAUGGAGGUUCCCAGGAAGCCUGUCUAAUCUAGCAAAAAGUAAAUCUGAAGAGCUUACAUGAUGUGCUCAAGACUGAAUACCUGACCACUUGAAGUUAGAGUUUACUUUUGUCCUUCACACCCCCCUUUCCUGGAUAUGUAUCCAUGAAACAGGAACUAGCUGUGAAGUUCAUAGUGGAUUCAGAAGAGAUUUGAAGAGACAGUAUUGAAAAGGUCAGGUUUAUACUUCAGAAUUACUUAAUAAUUCAAAAAGUAAUUUAUCCGAAUUCACAAAUAAGCCUGAUGUCUUUUGCUGAUCUUAUUGUCUAGUUUUCAUGAACUAUAUUUCUCCUACUAGUAUGUUAGUAUUUUAUAGACAUCUUAAUUCUUUACAAAGGAUAUUUGAGACAAUCUAGCAACAUUUUUUAAAAGCAUAAAACUCUUAGGUUUGCUUUGUAAUAUAGCAAUAAGUUUGAGUGAUUUCUAAAAUUAUUACUUGUAGCACAGUAUGAUGACAUCU
Heterocephalus glaber (naked mole-rat) is the source of this 4613-nucleotide long non-coding RNA. The record is from Ensembl. NCBI's taxonomy places the organism in Eukaryota, Metazoa, Chordata, Mammalia, Rodentia, Bathyergidae.